Long non-coding RNA from Suricata suricatta (meerkat), 637 nucleotides. RefSeq lists it as uncharacterized. The record is from RefSeq and is a predicted model, not a curated record. The transcript has 2 exons. Lineage: Eukaryota; Metazoa; Chordata; Mammalia; Carnivora; Herpestidae.
UUGAUAUGAACUAGCAAAGUCUUGCCAUUUGUUGAGCGCAAGCCUGUUCCCUUCAGCUCCUAGAAUUCUACGACGAAUCCCUAAGAGAACUUGGGAAGAAUAAUUAUUUAAUAUCAAAUCAAAUAAGAAAACAUUUAAAUCAGGAAGCACACAUGGGAAGAAGCUGGCGAACGAGCGCACUUCUGACAAAUCAAACAUACGGAGCCUUGUGAUUUCUAUGAGAGCAGUGACCUCUGGGAGCCCCCCGUGGCCCGCGUUGGCACAGGUUCUCCAGUGACGAAGACUGUUCUUUUUCCUCUAUACCGUUUUUGAUUUUUCCAUCAGCAGUGUUAAACUUUGUACUGUUGUUUUGCACUGAACUCACCAAACUACUUCAGACUUUUACAGCAAAGCAAGAGAUGGGUUCUGACUUAAUCAUUGCUCUUUUAACAGCUCCCGUGCUCUGUGCUAACAGAGCCCUUUGCUCCCUCUGCAUGCUCACACCAAGAAAGACUAGUUUGUGUUGUUUAUUUGGAUGUUUAUUGGGGAUUUGUAUUCCUUUCAAGAGAAGCGACCUCUAAUACCCCUUUCCCCCCAAUUACUCAGUCUAGAAGCCAAUGCGCUCUAGAAGUAAACUUGGGUAUUUCUAAAAAUCCAA